CCUGAACGCUGGCGGCGUGGCUAAGACAUGCAAGUCGAACGGAGGUAGCAAUACCUCAGUGGCGGACGGGUGAGUAAUGUAUCGCUAACGUGCCCUAGAGCCGGGGAUAGCCGGGGGAAACUCCGGGUAAUACCCGAUGACAUAUUCCUUUCGCAUGGAGGGAAUCUCAAAGGAGCAAUCCACUCUGGGAGCGGGCGAUAUCGUAUCAGCUAGUUGGUGAGGUAACGGCUCACCAAGGCGACGACGCGUAGCCGGACUGAGAGGUUGGCCGGCCACA
RNAcentral lists this ribosomal RNA (277 nucleotides) under uncultured bacterium. Its description in RNAcentral is "partial 16S ribosomal RNA". It matches the Rfam family "Bacterial small subunit ribosomal RNA", at positions 30 to 312 of the family's 1533-position model. The record is from RNAcentral.